UAUUACCUCUCAUUCCCACUAAUUCCCAACUAUUACCUCUCAUUCCCACUAAUUCCCAACUAUUACCUCUCAUUCCCACUAAUUCCCAACUAUUACCUCUCAUUCCCACUAAUUCCCAACUAUUACCUCUCAUUCCCACUAAUUCCCAACUAUUACCUCUUAUUCCUUGGAAUUCCUUGGAAAAAGUUCCUAGGAAUUCCAAAAUCCAAUUUUCAAGGGUUAAUUUGGACUGAGCUGUAGGAUUGCAAACUUAUAAUGAACCAAAAUUCAGCAUUGCCACAUGUAAUCAUGUCUAAAACACCAGCAGCUUAUUGCUAAAGCUUUAAAGUCGGGUUUUGAAAUGUAACUCGUGUUAUUUCUAUGAUAAGCUAGAACACAAUGAAUUGUGUGGCUUGUUAGCUGAUAUCACUUAGCUCUAAUAUCAAUAUUACUAUUGCAGUGAAAGAGGUAGGAAGUUCACUAGUGGCAACACAGCUGUAAACCAGCUCUAGGAAUGGUGUUGUUUCAGAACUAAGUUUCAUGAGGCAGCAGACAGAAUUACUGAGGAAUAGCUCAUUGCAAUAGUUCCUGAAAUUGUCACUUCUGUGUGCCGUUAUAGGGAGUCAACAUUCAGAACUUUACCACCAGCUGGGCCAAUGGCCUGGAUAUGUGUGCCCUGUUGAAUUACUUCCUACCCGAGAAGAUUCCAUAUGAAACUCUGAAUCCUGAAGACAAAAAGGGGAAUUGGACGAUGGCCUUUAGAGUCGCAAAUGAGGAGGGCAUUGAACCUUUGUUGGAGUUGGAAGACGUUAUGGCUGUUGAUGUCCCUGAACCCAAAAGUCUGAUCACUUAUCUCCAUUUUGUCUACCAACACUUUUCAGAGAAAAAACAACAGCAACAAAAAGCAUAGACAAGUUCCACUGAGGAUCAGGUUCUUGAUGCUGUCUGUGCUUUAAUCCUUCUUGAGCAUAAUAAUAUAUUUUAAAUCAGGAUUAAUGAAUUCAUUUUUAGAGUUACAGGAGAGAGAGAGAGAGAUCCAAGUCCGAGUUCUCUCUCUGUUUUCAGUGUCCUGGAAUGUUCUUAUUUUAUCCUUUCAGUUAGAGUUAUGAUGCAGCUCUUGCUUAAUUUUAUAGUAGUUGAAAUGAUAUAAUAUUAUGUAAAUGUAUUUUAAUAACAUAGUUUUAGA
Pocillopora verrucosa is the source of this 1165-nucleotide non-coding RNA. NCBI's taxonomy places the organism in Eukaryota, Metazoa, Cnidaria, Anthozoa, Scleractinia, Pocilloporidae. The record is from RefSeq and is a predicted model, not a curated record.